UUUAAUAAACUAUUUUUGAGUUGAGUUGAGUUCUCGUCCGAUCACUGAAGUUAAGCAACAUCGGGCGCGGUUAGUACUUGGAUGGAUGACCGCUUGGGAACACCGCGUGCUGUUGUCA
Molecule: ribosomal RNA, 118 nt
Filed under: Agrilus planipennis (emerald ash borer)
Lineage: Eukaryota; Metazoa; Arthropoda; Insecta; Coleoptera; Buprestidae
Source: RNAcentral